RNAcentral lists this long non-coding RNA (5696 nucleotides) under Sus scrofa (pig). RNAcentral describes it as "lncRNA (ENSSSCG00030034382.1)". Lineage: Eukaryota; Metazoa; Chordata; Mammalia; Artiodactyla; Suidae. The record is from RNAcentral.
UUUUUGCUGUUGAGCUGUAUAAAUUGUUUGUAUAUUUUUAGAGAUUAAGCUCUUGUCAAUUGCAUCAUUUGAAACUAUUUUCUCCCAUUCCAAAGUUUUUUUUUUUUUUAUGGUUUCCUUUGCUGUGCAAAAGAUGUGAUAUCUUAAAUGAUGCCUUGGUUUCUUUCUUUCUUUCUUUUUUUUAGGCCUCACCCACAGCAUAUGGAAGUUCCCAGGAUAGGGGUCGAAUUGGAUCUGAGCCAUGUCUGUGACCCACACCACAGCUCACGGCAACACUGGAUCCUUAACCCACUGAGCAUGGCCAGGAAUCAAACCCACAUCCUCACAGAUACUAGUCAGGUUUGUUACUGCUGAGCUACAAUGGGAACUCUGACUCCGUGGUUUCUGUUAGGGAAUAUGGGGUGGCCUUUGGGGAAGGAGUGAACUUGAUGUUGCAUAUAUUGGAUUUUAACUGCCAGUGAAGAUGCCCAUGACUAGACAUAGAAAUUUGAUAUUCAGUGAAGAUCUGAGUCAGUCCAAGAAUCUAAUCACAUAAAUGGCAAUUGCAGGAGCCCCAGCUGAAAUGGAGAGAGAGGAAGGAAAGAAGGGAAGAAAGAAAAUAGGGAAAGGAGGAAGUGCUAUUGGCUUACAUAUCUGUAAAGUCAAGGGGUAACUACUACAGCUUCAAACACAAAUGGAUCCAAGGGCCCAUGUGAUGUUACUGGUCAGUUUCCUUUCCUACCAUCUCUUGACUCUGGUGUCUCGGGUGCUGGCUGCUUAUCAAGCAAGUUGACCCUUCGUAGAAACAAGAUGUCUGCCAUCAGUUUCAGGUUUAUGUUUUAUUUUCCCAACAACCUUAACAGAAAGAAGAUGUCUCUUUUCCAAUACCUCUGACAAAAGGAGUGAUCACAAGUGAUGGGACGAGCUUGGGCCAUGUGCCAUCUCUAACCUAACACUACAGCGAGAGGGAAGAGAAUCCCUAUUUGCCACCCCUUGUCACAUGCAACCUAAAAUGCAAUCGAAUGAGAAGUAAGAGGAGCUCCCUGGUGGCACAGUGGGUUAAGGAUCUGGUGUGGUCCAUGCUGUGGCUCAGGCCACUGCUGUGGUGCAAGUUCGAUCCCUGGCCUGGGAACUUCCACAUGCCACAGGUAUGGCCAAAAAGGAAAAAAAGUGAAGUAGGAGAAAUAAGUGAUUCCCCAAGGAAAAUAUUCCAGAAAGAGGAAAAGAUGCUGGGUAGAAAGAAUAGCAGAUGUCUCAGGGGAAACAGCCUAGGAGAAACACUCCUUAGGGGCUUCUCUUCCCUAGAAGGCCUCUUUGAAGGUUGAUCUAAGGGUGCUGAUGGUCCUUAUAGUUCAAGGAGUCAAAAAAGAUUUUUUGUAAGAAACGUUAAGUCGAGAGGAUAAAUGCUGACUGAGGACAUAUCUGCCACCUAUGAAAGCAUGUAGCUCCGAUCGCUCUGUUUCACCCUCCUCCUUCUACUCCAGUAGCCAACAAGUUGACUUUGAUACCCAGCGUUCCCCAGUCUCCAGUAUCACUUUGAUCUCUGCUGUUUUAUUUGGUAGAAUGGUUGAGAAGGAUAAAAAGGAAAUUAAGGGUUCCUGUUGUGGCUCAGUGGGUUCAGGACCCAACAUCGUCUUUAUGAGGAUGCAGGUUCAAUCCCUGACCUCGCUCAGUGGGUAAAGGACCCAACAUUGCUACAAGCUGCAGCGUAGUCUGCAGAUGUGGCUUGGAUCCUGCAUUGCUGUGGCUGUGGCACAGGCUGUGGAACUGCAGCUCUAAUUCAACCCCUAGCCUGAGAACUUCCAUAUGCCACGGGCACGGCCAAAAAAUAAGUAAAUAAUCUAAAAAUUAAAAUGUCAAUGUCAGAAAAUAACAAGCACUGGAAAAGAAAUGGGGGAGGGCACAACUGUCAGACGUUGUGGGUGGAAGUUAUAAACUGGCGCCGUGAAUCCAGAGAGCAAGAUCUACAAAACUUAAAAGCCUGGAACCCAACAGCUCUGUUUCUAACUAGAGUCCACAGAGAAACUUCUCUCACUCGUGUACAAGGAGGCAUACACAAGGGUAUUUCCUGUUGGUAACGUGAGGGAAAGUAAGGAACUGAAAGGUCUCUUAUCAGGGAAUGGAUAAAUAAAAGAUGGCCUGUUCGUUCUGCAGAACACUGUCUAUAGUUAAGAGGAAUAAUCUAGGUCAAUGUACAUCACCACGAAAGGAUCUCAGAUAUACAGACUUGACUGAAAAGGCAAAUUGGCAGAAUGAUACAUAAAGUACAAUAUCAUUGACCAAAGUGAUUUUUAGAAAUAUAGGUUCUGGGACUAGAGAAGAGUGAAGAGGGGAUUUCUUCGACACCAGAGCAAUUUUUGUUUUUCUCUCUCUCUCCUCCCUCUGCCUCCCUCUUCCUCCCUCUCUUCCUCCCUCCCUCUCUCUCUCUCUCCCCCCCACUCUCCUAGAAUUUCCCCUAAAUCUAAGUUCCAUGAGUGGGUUUUCAGAGAAAACUAUAAAUCCCUUGACAUUAUAAGUACAAUGUCCUGUUUCUGAGUAUUAUUCCUGGGGAAUGGGCCCAUAGCUUUUGUCAGGUGACCAGAGAGGUCAGUGUAUAUGCAAUUAAAAUUCAAAGGAAAAAAUUUUAUUCAAAGGAACAUGGAACUCUGAUACAGUUUCCUUGGUCCCUCGUACCCUGGGAGUAAGAGUUAUUUCUCAUCAGGAGAAAAAAAAGAAAAGAGAGAGAAAACGUGAAGUGAUUUGUUCUGAUCCUGUUUCCACUAGCCAAGUGCCCUGGGAGAAAAUGCCCUGCCUUUGGAAACACAAACACCUCCAUCCUCCCCAGCCUUCCAGACCUCCCAUCCAUCAUCUCAGCAGGCUCUGGGCAGCAGCAGCCGGCCUCCUUCAUGGCCACACGUGACCCUUUCCAUCAGACAUCAGGGUCCAGCUCUGGCCAGCUUGUUGACAAUUAUGAAGAGUCUUCUAACCCAGGCAAGCAGCCUCUGCACCACCUAGAGUGCUCCAAGGCUGGGAAAGCAUCAAGAGUCCAGGAAAGUGUCACCUGUUUGGCAGGGGAUGCCGAGGCAAUGGGCCCACACCCACCGAUCCAGGCACAGCUCCAGGGGCUCCCCAGGGCCUGGGCUCUGCUUGGGCUCCUCUGGAACCUGGGGUUGUGAGUCCCAUAGUUCUGUGCUCUAAACUCAUAGGCUGAGAUGAAGACAAAUACUACAUUCUCCUGCCAUCAGCUGAGGGUCAGUCGGGUGGCGCUGCUGAUCUUGCCUGGCCUGCUCCCAUGUUCAGGUGUCAGCUGGCUGUCAGCUGAUCUGGACCCGCCUUUGACAGGUGCCUGGGCUCGCUCUGCUCCCAGUGUUUCUCAUGCCCCAGCACUCUAGCCUGAGGUUCUCACGGCACACAGAAAGGCACAAGAGAGCAAGCACUGAGCCCAUGUCAAGCCUCUGCUCGCAUCACAUCUGCAAAUACCCCGUUGACCAAAGCAAGUCUCAUGGCCGUGCUUGUCACCCUGCCCGCAGUGAGCAGGCACUGCAAACCAGGUAGGAGCCUGCGUUUGGGGGUCAGGCUCUGCCUCUUACCAAGGACGUCUCUUAAAUUCUCUGAGCAAAUAAGACACUACUCUUCACCUAUUGGAUUAAUGGGGAAAAAAAUAUUUUUUUUUUUUUCGCUCUGGCAAUAAAUAGUCCAGAACGGAGGUGGAGUAAUAGGCACCUUAACACAUUAUUGGUGGGAUUUUUAUUCUUUUCAAAGGGUAAUUGAAUCCUAUUUAUUGCACUAGGUUGCAAAAUGGCCCCAAUUUCUUCUCAGCCCCGUGUGCAUGUCCCCUUUUCAGUGUAACUCUGCAGCCCCUCCCCCCCAUGAAUAUGGGUAAGUCAUGUGACUUGUUUAGGCCAAAGGGGUGAUAGCAAAGGUGACCCAUGCAAAGGUUUUAACAGUACUUGUCCCUGGGGAAUGGCCUCUCUUCCCUGUACUUAGAAACCUGAAACCACUCUGCAAAUGAGCCCAAGCCAGCCUGCUAUAGGAUGAGAGGCUGCAAAGAGGCAAGUUAAGGUGCCUCAGUGGAGCUGUUUCGACUGGUCAGAUGCAUGAGUGAUCCCAGCCAGGACCAGCCACGCCAGCUGAGCCCAGGCCAACCCACUGAAUCCCAAAAUCCCAGGAAGAGCUAAUAUAAGAUGCCAGUUCAUUUCAUCACCUCCUCAUAGGGGUAAGAUUUUUCAAAAGCAGAGCUAUGAUGUUGCUUCACUCAAUCAAGAUCCAUUAAGCCCCUACCCUUCCAUGCUAGGAUUGUUCUAGGCACUGAUGAUCUAACAGUGGGGAAGCGGAGGAGUGGGGGAUGAAAAAUGUCCCUGCUUCAUAAAGCUUGUGUUCUAGGAGUAAGUGGCGGAAAAUUUUUUAAAUUACUAGGUACCAUGCGUUGAACAAUAGUGAUAAGUGCUCUGGAGAAAAACAGUAACAAUGGAGAGCAUUGUUCCAGGCGCAGUUUCAGUGGGGAUGGGGAGUGUUGCAGUGGGUCUUGUAGACAAAACCUCUGUGAGAAGGAGGUAACGUGAAGACUUGAGUGAACGCGCCUCACUGAAAUCUAGGGGGAUGGAGCUCCUGUCGUGGCUCAGUGGGUUAAGAACCCAACUAGCAUCCAUGAGGACGCAGGCUUGAUCCCUGGCCUUGCUCAGUGGGUUAAGGAUCCAGCGUGGCCAUGAGCUGUGUUUGCACGUCGCAGACGCAGCUUCGAUCUGACUUUGCUAUGGCUGUGGUGUAGGCUGGCAGCUACAGCUCCGAUUCAACCCCUAGCCUGGGCACUUCCAUAUGCCAUGGGUGAAGCCCUAAAAAGACGAAAGAGAGAGAUGAAACAGGGGACAGGCUGUGUAGGAGCUUGUGGGUCACUACUAGGAGUUUCUGGUAAACUCCUGCACUGUUGCAAUUUCUUUUUUUAACCAAACGUAUGUGUUCCUUUCAAAACAAUAAUUUUGAAGAAAUAGAGCCAAAACAAAUAACAAUCCUGAGCUGCUCUCCCAGAUCCUAAUAUGAGUGGACUCUACGUGCAGUUUAUCAUAAUCCCCCGCCACUGCAUUCUUAGAGCAUUCCAGAGCCUGCUGGAGGAGACAGUCAUUGUUGGGCACAGGCUGCCCCCUGCUGGUCACAUUUGGAUGAGCACCCACAAGUGUCACCUGAAGAAGCAAAGUUGUCCCAGGAGAAGCCAGGUAUAACCAGUUAUCAGAAUGCCCUAUCUUCCUUGCCAGCAAGCUUGAAUUCCUCAGAGGCCCCUGAAGGACAGUAUGUGGGGGAAGACAUCUCCCAAAGCUUCACACACAGUCACCUCCUAUCCAUGCAUCCACUUCUGAAAGGACUCAAUUAUUUGCCCACUUGCUCAUUGGAUCCUCCACACAAACCCUGCAGGGCAACCUGGGGCGGAGUUGGGUGGGGGGUGAAGGGCUUGGUAGCCUGUCUUGCAGGUGAGAGGAUUGAGGCUUUGGGAGGCUGCGAGACUCGCAAUCAGCCUCAUGAGCCAGUGUGUGGGACCACAAGUCAGGAGCUCCCAACCCUGGAGUUCCCAUUGUGGCACAGUGGUUAACGAAUCCGACUAGGAACCAUGAGGUUGCGGGUUCGAUCCCUGGCCUCACUCAGUGGGUUUAGGAUCCGGUGUUGCCGUGAUCCCGAGUUGCUGUGGCUGUGGUGUAGGCCGGCGGCUACAGCUCCGAUUAAACCCCUAGCCUGGGAACCUCCAUAUG